This 396-nucleotide ribosomal RNA is filed under the name uncultured bacterium. Its description in RNAcentral is "bacterial SSU rRNA". It matches the Rfam family "Bacterial small subunit ribosomal RNA", at positions 29 to 416 of the family's 1533-position model. The record is from RNAcentral.
AAUGAACGCUGGCGGCGCGCCUAAUACAUGCAAGUCGAGCGAGAAGACGUAGCAAUACGUUUGUAAAGCGGCGAACGGGUGAGGAAUACAUGGGUAACCUACCCUCGAGUGGGGAAUAACUAGCCGAAAGGUUAGCUAAUACCGCGUACGCUUCUUGGACUUCGGUUCAGGGAGGAAAGCGAUACCGUGGGUAUCGCGCUCUUGGAUGGGCUCAUGUCCUAUCAGCUUGUUGGGAGGUAACGGCUCACCAAGGCUUCGACGGGUAGCUGGUCUGAGAGGACGAUCAGCCACACUGGCACUGCGACACGGGCCAGACUCCUACGGGAGGCAGCAGUAAGGAAUAUUGCGCAAUGGGCGAAAGCCUGACGCAGCGACGCCGCGUGGGGGAUGAAGGUC